GCGUCCUUUGUUCGCGCCUGUCUCCGUCCGUCGCCGCCUAACACUAGCUGAUUUGGUUCCAUCCAUUGAAGCCCAGUUGCAGCUCUGCAUCGUUGGUGUCGGAGUUGAGCACGCGUUCUGUCGUCGUCCGUAAAGCGUCGCUGCACGACUCUCCGCUUUCUAGCUGCGAGAUCGACGUCCACAUCCAUUUUCGUUCAUAUCUAUUUUGCACACACCGAUUCCAUCUAUCCGCGCUGCGCUGUCUUGUUGUGAUUUUUGGAGAGGUUGUGCGUAAAUUCUUGAGUUUCACAUCAAGCUUCAUUGGAAGUUUAUGCUUCAUUCAACUUGGGUUUGUUUUGUUGAAUUCAGUUCGAUCAAGAACUCAAAGUAAGAGUUCCUACUACUGGACUCAAUAAUGAAAUUGAGAUGUAUUGACGGCAAAUGUAAUACAAGAGGCAGACCGACGAGGGACCAGAAGGAGACGUGACUGUCAUAGGGGGAUUUUCUUCAAAAUUGCUUCCGCUUACAGUCUUUUAUUUGUUUUACUUUAGUAUUUAUGACUGAAAUGGGUUUCAUGUUUAGAACGACUAUUUAUUUCUUAAUUUUAUAAACUAUACUUUUGAACCUUAAGUUUUGUUUGAAAUAGGGCCCGAAUAAAAUUCUUCGAUGUUUAUUUAUUUUAACAGAUUUUAUAAACUCUUAUGUUUAAAAGAAGUGUCUUUGAGCAAUGACCUCAAUUUAGAUAGAAAAGUUGGAUCGUUAUAAGUCAGUUGCACUAAAGUGAUCUUGGAGUUAGUCACAAGAUUUUAUUGUUGGAACUUAGAAUUUAUCACAUGAAGGUGCUUGUCGGAGUUGAUUUUCAUCAGAAAGUUUGUUAUUGGAGGUGGUUAUCGAAGUCCAAAAUUGGUCGUAAAAUUUGUCACGCAAAUGUGGUCAUUAUAGUUGGUCGUCGGAGGUGGCUAGCAGACUUGAAUGUGUGAAAGUGGUUGUCGAAGUUGGUUCUUGAAGUGUAGCAAUGGUAAUCAUCAAUGGUGUGGUUGAUUGGUGAACAUGCAUUAGAAACCGACUUUGGCCUUUAAAGUCGGUUUUCAACUAACAUUUUUGGUACCGUUAUUGAAGCUCUUUAAUGUCAGCUGAGUUUUGUUUUUGGUUUAAAACCGACAUUAAAGCCUUCUUUUAUGGUCCAUUUUUACAAUUUCUUUUAUUUAAUUGUUGCAUUAUUGUC
Cucumis sativus (cucumber) is the source of this 1204-nucleotide long non-coding RNA. RefSeq lists it as uncharacterized. The record is from RefSeq and is a predicted model, not a curated record. The transcript has 4 exons. NCBI's taxonomy places the organism in Eukaryota, Viridiplantae, Streptophyta, Magnoliopsida, Cucurbitales, Cucurbitaceae.